UUUUCCUGUCUCCCUGCAGCAGCAGUAAUCUAGCUGAUUAAUUCCACCUCUGCUGCUCCCUAUUUAAGCACCUGGCUCCUGCUGCUCAGUCGUCUGCUGCCCUGUCACAGUCCUUCGAGUGUUUGAACCUGUCUGCCUGCCUCUUUAUCAUUGAUCUCUGCCUGCCUGACCACGGAACCUGUCUGCCUGCCUGUUGCCCGACCUCGGUCUGUCUGACCAUGGAACCCGUCUAUUCCCUCAGUUCCAGCCUGAAUCUGAGUACUCCCCUUCAUCGGCAUCCCUCAACGCUGAACACUGCUGCUGUUUUUAGAAGGCCACGUCACCCGGAAGGAACUGACUCCAGCUGGUCCAGAUCGCUUUAACAAGUCUUUAAAUAAACUCUUUAAAACUUU
Molecule: long non-coding RNA, 392 nt
Organism: Nothobranchius furzeri (turquoise killifish)
Lineage: Eukaryota; Metazoa; Chordata; Actinopteri; Cyprinodontiformes; Nothobranchiidae
Source: RefSeq, a predicted model, not a curated record